This 496-nucleotide ribosomal RNA is filed under the name uncultured bacterium. RNAcentral describes it as "partial 16S ribosomal RNA". It matches the Rfam family "Bacterial small subunit ribosomal RNA", at positions 29 to 507 of the family's 1533-position model. The record is from RNAcentral.
AUGCACGCUGGCGGCGUGCCUAAUACAUGCCAGUCGAGCGAACGGACGAGAAGCUUGCUUCUCUGAUGUUAGCGGCGGACGGGUGAGUAACACGUGGAUAACCUACCUAUAAGACUGGGAUAACUUCGGGAAACCGGAGCUAGUACCGGAUAAUAUUUUGAACCGCAUGGUUCAAAAGUGAAAGACGGUCUUGCUGUCACUUAUAGAUGGAUCCGCGCUGCAUUAGCUAGUUGGUAAGGUAACGGCUUACCAAGGCAACGAUGCAUAGCCGACCUGAGAGGGUGAUCGGCCACACUGGAACUGAGACACGGUCCAGACUCCUACGGGAGGCAGCAGUAGGGAAUCUUCCGCAAUGGGCGAAAGCCUGACGGAGCAACGCCGCGUGAGUGAUGAAGGUCUUCGGAUCGUAAAACUCUGUUAUUAGGGAAGAACAUAUGUGUAAGUAACUGUGCACAUCUUGACGGUACCUAAUCAGAAAGCCACGGCUAACUACGUG